AGGGCCAAGCGGGAAAGCUGCAGGUAGCUUACAAACCAUCACGAGUGCCUCCUGACACGUUUAAAGACUAGCAAGAUGCCGUCCUGUGGACCCCAGCUACCAAAGGCCAGACAGACACUGCUCCCUCAAGACUCCUCCACCUGCUUCAGCUUCCCCCGGAAGAGCUGUGGCCUCUGCGAGUGCCCGUUACCUCUGGGUGGCUAUCCCCUUUCCACCUUUCAGCCCAAACUCCUAGAUCCAGAGUAGCGAAUAACAGGAGUGGGUGCCUGUCACUGGAUGUCACUGGAAAAGUCCAGGGAAGCAGAGGGGUUAUUAACAGCCACAGAGGAGCAAGACAAGGAAGUACCAGAGAGAGCUGGCCAAGGAAUGCUAGUCCUGGGCUGCAGGUCAGCCAGCUGGCAGCUGAGCUAACUCAGAGAGCUGGCUUCCCAAUGGGGUGCAGUUAGUAGGCCAGGCCCACCAGGCAGCUGCAGUUCUGCUUCUGCUAGAUCCUGCCCUGGGGUGAGGCAGGCCAAGUCAGAAGCCAGUGCCUUCCUCCCAGCGGGUCCUGGGAAGCCAGUGAUAGGGGGUGCUGAGGCAACAGACCUCACGCUGAUGAGGAGGCUGCUUGGUUCCGGGCUCUGCCGAAAGAGGAGUGGGAUACGGCUGUGAGAGGGCCGAGGUUGAGUCUUGCUCACCCAGAAGACCAAGGACAUCAGGUGCAGUGAUGCGGACGUGCAGGGAAAAGACUCUGCUGGUCAGGCCCUGACUGGGACCUGUUCACACAGAAUCUCUCCCUUCAGACAGGAGGGUUACCACAGCUGCCUGCAGUGUGGCCACCCCUGUGCUCAGAGGAGAAAGGCUGGGUGCUCCUCUUACCUGAGCCCUUCCAUCAGGAUUAAAUCUGCAGCCCUUUCCCCACUGUGUGCAGCUACUGGGCAGGGUGCCCAGUGUGGCCUGGUGGCAAAGGCCAAUUCAGAGCACUUCUCAGACUCCAUUUCCCUAAAGCGAGGCUGCUGGCUCCAUGCUGAGGAGAAGCCCUGGGGUGAUGGGAAGAAGAAGCCUUCCUGCUCUCCACUAGGAAGUCACCUCUGCCCUGCAGGUGCCCUGCAGGUGAGCAGCUCUCAGCUGGUGCACAAGGACAUGGGACAAAGGAGGUCCUCCCCAAGGAAUGUGGUGCUGUUUGGUCUCUAGAAAUAGAACCAUGUUCUUCAUGC
RNAcentral lists this long non-coding RNA (1196 nucleotides) under Mus musculus (house mouse). RNAcentral describes it as "long non-coding RNA chr15:80160505-80161701". The record is from RNAcentral. Lineage: Eukaryota; Metazoa; Chordata; Mammalia; Rodentia; Muridae.